GAGGGAAAACAGUUGACAUGAAGAUCUCCAUGAGUAAAGGUUAACAAUUAGAUGAUUAAUUUUUGUUAAUUACCGUUUAAACAAUUAAUCUUAUUCAUUUUUGUUCUUUAACUAAUUAAUAACCGUUUUGUUUCAUAUUCUAUUUGACGUUGUGUACGUGUUAAGGUGGUUUACAGUAUCUUUUAAGGAAAAUUAAUCGAAAGCAUCAACAUUAGCAUCAUCUCUCUCUCUCUCUUACUCGCUAUCUUUGACCAAUCUAUGUCAAGCUCGACUUGAUUUACUGGUGGCUUGUAAAAAGUUGGAACAUUUUCAAACGUUUUUCACGACCAAAUUGUUAAUUCUGCUGAUCAAUUUAAAUUCACUGUUAAAAGAGCUUAAACUCCUCAAGUACAUGUUAAGUUACUGAAUUUUAAGUGAUUGGGAGUCUUAAACUCACAAAUACGUAAUCGUGGCUGAGUUACCUCUUUUGUAUCCAAAUGAUGAUGGAGAUUACAAAGUUUACCACUUUCUUUUUACCUGACAUUUGGCGGAAAAAUAUGACAAGAUGAUGAUAGCUAUUCCAAUUAAUAAUACAACUUUUCAACUUGUUUUAAUUGAUUGAAUUUCUUUUUUUACUGGUGAAAAAGAGGAAGAAAAAAACUGUUGAUUUCUAUCGUUAAUACACCUUUCCCAUCAAGAUGAUGACGAUGAAACUAUUAGAGGUACUCCUUGUGCUCAAAUUAACAGCAUCUACUCAUCAUCACUUUACCAAUUGCUUUUAAUAGAUGAUGAAUUAUACAUAAAUCAUUAUAUCAAUUUCGUUCUUUAAGCUGCUUACUAAUUAACUUUUAAACAUUUCUAAUUACAGGCUAAUAAGCAAUCACCAUCAUUCGCUCGGAGGUAUAUGAAUUUUUGAAUAGAAAACCCUUGGAAAUCGUGUAACUACCUAACCAAUUGAAGAUUGAAAUUCUGCCUUCCUGAUUUACAAUUAAGUCCAUCAACUCUUAACUAUUAAUAAAUGAAUACCCUUGGUCUUUGUUCAAUCAAAACAAUAUCGACGAUGAUGAUGAUACAUUUGACUGAUUCAAGGAUAGUUACCAGAAAUUGAUGAUAAUCGAAAUUCUCAAAAUUUAAUUGCUCGUUAAAAGUCAACAAUAAAUGAUGUUUUCAUUUUUUUUUUCUUCUUCUACUAAAUGUAAACAAUGGCAAAAAAAAGGAUAUUGAAAUUAAAAAGAAAACAAAGAAAAAGGAAAAUAAAAAACAAAAUGGAUUCCAGAUUAACCUUGAAAAUGGAGAAACAAAUUAUCACAUCAAUGCUACCAUUGGAUUUUUCUUAUGUCCAUUUGAUUUGGAUUAUUGUUAUGGAUGAUUCUGAUCAUGAUUCUCGAAAUCAACUGACCAUUACAAUUUCCUGAUUAAUUUACCAACUGAUUACAAUCAAUUUGUAUAUCUCACCAAACAAUUAAACAGGAGAAGGGUGGAAAUCAAGUUGAUCAUUUUCAAAACUACCGUUAACCAAUUGUUAUUACCAUUUAAUCAUUAUUCUGAUCUUGAUGCCUUGAUUUGAUUAUUAUUACCAAGAUAUUAAUCAUAAUGUUAAUUCAUUGAUUAUCUUGCUAAUCUAAUUGUGAUGAAACAAUUUGAUAAUAAUAAAAAGGUUGAUUUGAUUCCUUCCGAUCAACUUUUUUAUAUCAUUAAUUGUUGUCUCGUUUUUUUUUCACAAAUCACCAUUGAUUU
Molecule: long non-coding RNA, 1716 nt
Organism: Panonychus citri (citrus red mite)
Lineage: Eukaryota; Metazoa; Arthropoda; Arachnida; Trombidiformes; Tetranychidae
Exons: 6
Source: RefSeq, a predicted model, not a curated record